UUACAAUUAAUGUACACCAAGAUUUAUUGUGAAGAGGAUUUUCUCCUUGUGUGUUUCUGGAUUCAACCAGUUUCUUCGAUGACUUUAAAGGAACGCCAGCUUUGUUCGUUGGGCAUGUUGACAAGUCAAUUAAGAAUCUGAAAUUGUAAAAACUUAAAAUGGCACUGAGAUUUGAGUAGCUCCAUGGGCUUGCCUCCUGUAAAAGGGUGUGUAAUAAAUAUAUAUUUCGUGCCAAUCCUCUCGCCUAAGUAGACAUUAUACCAUCAAAUCUACAUAUUUAAAAUUUGGUUCUCAGCAUUUCCAGCUCGCCUUUUAUUGCUUUCGUCUGUCCAGAGUUUGGCAUAAAAUACAUAGUUUUUGCAGUCAAUUAUUAAAAUCUUGGUUUAGAAGUUCGAUAAUGUGCUUCUUAAUA
Molecule: long non-coding RNA, 412 nt
Organism: Folsomia candida
Lineage: Eukaryota; Metazoa; Arthropoda; Collembola; Entomobryomorpha; Isotomidae
Exons: 2
Source: RefSeq, a predicted model, not a curated record